CAGUAGCCGCGGUAAAACGGAGGGGGCUAGCGUUGUUCGGAAUUACUGGGCGUAAAGAGUGCGUAGGCGGUUUAGUAAGUUGGAAGUGAAAGCCCGGGGCUUAACCUCGGAAUUGCUUUCAAAACUACUAAUCUAGAGUGUAGUAGGGGAUGAUGGAAUUCCUAGUGUAGAGGUGAAAUUCUUAGAUAUUAGGAGGAACACCGGUGGCGAAGGCGGCCAUCUGGGCUACAACUGACGCUGAUGCACGAAAGCGUGGGGAGCAAACAGGAUUAGAUACCCCAGUAGUCCCUGUCUCUUAUAC
Molecule: ribosomal RNA, 301 nt
Filed under: uncultured bacterium
Lineage: Bacteria
Description: partial 16S ribosomal RNA
Rfam family: Bacterial small subunit ribosomal RNA
Source: RNAcentral